UAGUCCACGCUGUAAACGAUGAUCACUCGUUGUUGGCGAUACAUUGUCAGCGACUGAGCGAAAGCAUUAAGUGAUCCACCUGGGGAGUACGAUCGCAAGAUUGAAACUCAAAGGAAUUGACGGGGGCCCGCACAAGCGGAGGAACAUGUGGUUUAAUUCGAUGAUACGCGAGGAACCUUACCUGGGCUUAAAUGUAAAACGACGGAUCGGGAAACUGAUCUUUCUUCGGACGCUUUGCAAGGUGCUGCAUGGCUGUCGUCAGCUCGUGCCGUGAGGUGUCGGGUUAAGUCCCAUAACGAGCGCAACCCUCAUCAUUAGUUGCCAGCGGGUAAUGCCGGGGACUCUAAUGAAACUGCCGGUGUAAGCCGUGAGGAAGGUGGGGACGACGUCAAAUCAUCAUGGCCUUUAUGCCUAGGGCUACACACGUGCUACAAUGGUGCAUACAGCGGGUAGCGAAAUCGCGAGGUGGAGCUAAUCUUGUAAAGUGCAUCCC
RNAcentral lists this ribosomal RNA (493 nucleotides) under uncultured bacterium. Its description in RNAcentral is "bacterial SSU rRNA". It matches the Rfam family "Bacterial small subunit ribosomal RNA", at positions 791 to 1289 of the family's 1533-position model. The record is from RNAcentral.